RNAcentral lists this ribosomal RNA (744 nucleotides) under uncultured bacterium. Its description in RNAcentral is "bacterial SSU rRNA". It matches the Rfam family "Bacterial small subunit ribosomal RNA", at positions 8 to 796 of the family's 1533-position model. The record is from RNAcentral.
AGAGUUUGAUCAUGGCUCAGAGCGAACGCUGGCGGCAGGCCUAACACAUGCAAGUCGAGCGGGCACCUUCGGGUGUCAGCGGCAGACGGGUGAGUAACACGUGGGAACGUGCCCUUUGGUUCGGAACAACUCCGGGAAACUGGAGCUAAUACCGGAUAAGCCCUUCGGGGGAAAGAUUUAUCGCCAAAGGAUCGGCCCGCGUCUGAUUAGCUAGUUGGUGAGGUAAUGGCUCACCAAGGCGACGAUCAGUAGCUGGUCUGAGAGGAUGAUCAGCCACACUGGGACUGAGACACGGCCCAGACUCCUACGGGAGGCAGCAGUGGGGAAUAUUGGACAAUGGGCGAAAGCCUGAUCCAGCCAUGCCGCGUGAGUGAUGAAGGCCCUAGGGUUGUAAAGCUCUUUUGUCCGGGAAGAUAAUGACUGUACCGGAAGAAUAAGCCCCGGCUAACUUCGUGCCAGCAGCCGCGGUAAUACGAAGGGGGCUAGCGUUGCUCGGAAUCACUGGGCGUAAAGGGCGCGUAGGCGGAUCUUUAAGUCGGGGGUGAAAGCCCAGGGCUCAACCCUGGAAUUGCCUCCGAUACUGAAGAUCUUGAGACCGGAAGAGGUUAGUGGAACUGCGAGUGUAGAGGUGAAAUUCGUAGAUAUUCGCAAGAACACCAGUGGCGAAGGCGGCUAACUGGUCCGGUUCUGACGCUGAGGCGCGAAAGCGUGGGGAGCAAACAGGAUUAGAUACCCUAGUAGUCC